GGUGGAAGUGGCGGACAUGGCUUCUUCGGAAUCACCACCGGUGGCACGUAGAUUGGUACCGGCGGAGGACACGGCUUCUUUGGGAUCACUGGUGGCACGUAGAUUGGUGGAUGCUCUAUCUUCGGUGGCGGCUUGUAGACCGGAACCGGUGGUGGAUCGACCUUCGGCGCUUUGGGCGGGCAUGGCUUCUUCGGGAUCACCGGUGGCACGUAGAUUGGUGGAUGCUCUAUCUUCGGUGGUGGCUUGUAAACCGGUACUGGUGGUGGAAGCUUGAUCUUUGGCGCUUUAGGCGGGCACGGCUUCUUUGGCGGCUUGUGGAUUGGUACCGGCGGUGGAAGGACUAUUUUCGGCGGCGGCUUGUGGACUGGAACCGGUGGCGGAUCAACUUUCUUUGGUGGCAUGGGCGGACAAGGCUUCUUAGUCGGUGGUUUGUGAACUGGCACUGGCGGUGGAAGCUCAAUCUUUGGCGACUUAGGCGGGCAUGGCUUCUUGGGGAUUGUUGGUGGCUUGUGUACUGGAACCGGAGGUGGGUGCUCUACCUUUGGAGGUGGCUUGUAAACCGGAACCGGAGGUGGGUGCUCUACCUUUGGAGGCGGCUUGUAAACCGGAACCGGAGGUGGGUGCUCUACCUUUGGAGGCGGCUUGUAAACCGGAACUGGAGGUGGGUGCUCUACCUUUGGAGGUGGCUUGUAAACCGGGACAGGUGGUGGAUGCUCCACCUUUGGAGGUGGCUCGUACACUGGAACCGGAGGUGGUGGGCAAGGUUUAGGAAACGGUGGAAGCUCCAAAGGUGGAGGUAGAGGGAAAGGGUGAUCAAAUCCCUUAAAAGGAGGGAACUUAGGCAUAGGCCAAAAGAAUUUGGAAACACAAAGUUCAGGUGAAAAUUUGAGAUUUUGUUUGAGACCCAAAACGUGUUUGUCUCCAGAUUUGUAUAGAAACACGAUCUGGUUGGACUCUAGGCCGUCAUGAGCCGGGCAAGGUGUUCC
RNAcentral lists this long non-coding RNA (986 nucleotides) under Brassica napus (rape). Its description in RNAcentral is "long non-coding RNA (BNAP_LNC014295)". The record is from RNAcentral. Lineage: Eukaryota; Viridiplantae; Streptophyta; Magnoliopsida; Brassicales; Brassicaceae.